RNAcentral lists this ribosomal RNA (429 nucleotides) under Chloroflexota bacterium. RNAcentral's name for it is "Chloroflexi bacterium partial 16S ribosomal RNA". It matches the Rfam family "Bacterial small subunit ribosomal RNA", at positions 355 to 776 of the family's 1533-position model. The record is from RNAcentral. Lineage: Bacteria; Bacillati; Chloroflexota.
UGGGGAAUAUUGCACAAUGGGCGCAAGCCUGAUGCAGCCAUGCCGCGUGUGUGAAGAAGGCCUUCGGGUUGUAAAGCACUUUCAGCGGGGAGGAAGGCGUUAAGGUUAAUAACCUUGGCGAUUGACGUUACCCGCAGAAGAAGCACCGGCUAACUCCGUGCCAGCAGCCGCGGUAAUACGGGGGGUGCAAGCGUUAAUCGGAAUUACUGGGCGUAAAGCGCACGCAGGCGGUCUGUCAAGUCGGAUGUGAAAUCCCCGGGCUCAACCUGGGAACUGCAUCUGAUACUGGAAAGCUUGAGUCUCGUAGAGGGAGGUAGAAUUCCAGGUGUAGCGGUGAAAUGCGAAGAGAUCUGGAGGAAUACCGGGGGCGAAGGCGGCACCCUGGGCGAAGACUGACGCUCAGGUGCGAAAGCGUGGGGAGCAAACAGG